Long non-coding RNA from Lemur catta (Ring-tailed lemur), 321 nucleotides. RefSeq lists it as uncharacterized. The record is from RefSeq and is a predicted model, not a curated record. NCBI's taxonomy places the organism in Eukaryota, Metazoa, Chordata, Mammalia, Primates, Lemuridae. The transcript is spliced from 2 exons.
GUGGAAUCUCGCCCACAUGUCGGGAGCAGGGCCCAGGACUUCCAGGGUCAGGAUCCGAGAGCACGUGAAGCCACAGGGCUUUUGCGUCCCACAGGGAGACCCGGGCAGUGGUUGGACAAGAGGGGACCAGGUUGUUCCUGAAGCCACGGUAUCCACUGCCGCUGCACAGAUGUUUAUGGAACGUCAGAGCCAGAAUCCGGAGGGUCUGGCUGUGAGCUCGGGCUGUGGGGUCAGAUUCCCUAAGUUCGAAUCCCAGCUCUGCCAUUUACUGAGUGUGUGGGCUGAAGUGUGUCCCCUAAAAUAAAUACGUUGCAGUCCUCA